AUAUACCGCGAAACUGCGAAUGGCUCAUUAAAUCAGUUAUCGUUUAUUUGAUAGUACCUUACUACUUGGAUAACCGUGGUAAUUCUAGAGCUAAUACAUGCUAAAAAUCCCGACUUCGGAAGGGAUGUAUUUAUUAGAUUAAAAACCAAUGCCCUUCGGGGCUCACUGGUGAUUCAUAAUAACUUCUCGAAUCGCAUGGCCUUGCGCCGGCGAUGGUUCAUUCAAAUUUCUGCCCUAUCAACUUUCGACGGCUGGGUCUUGGCCAGCCAUGGUGACAACGGGUAACGGAGGGUUAGGGCUCGACCCCGGAGAAGGAGCCUGAGAAACGGCUACUACAUCCAAGGAAGGCAGCAGGCGCGCAAAUUACCCAAUCCCGACACGGGGAGGUAGUGACAAUAAAUACUGAUACAGGGCUCUUUAGGGUCUUGUAAUUGGAAUGAGUACAAUUUAAAUCCCUUAACGAGGAACAAUUGGAGGGCAAGUCUGGUGCCAGCAGCCGCGGUAAUUCCAGCUCCAAUAGCGUAUAUUAAAGUUGUUGCAGUUAAAAAGCUCGUAGUUGAACCUUGGGCCUGGCUGGCCGGUCCGCCUCACCGCGUGCACUGGUCCGGCCGGGUCUUUCCCUCUGGGGAACCGCAUGCCCUUCACUGGGUGUGCUGGGGAACCAGGACUUUUACUUUGAAAAAAUUAGAGUGUUCAAAGCAGGCCUAUGCUCGAAUACAUUAGCAUGGAAUAAUAGAAUAGGACGUGUGGUUCUAUUUUGUUGGUUUCUAGGACCGCCGUAAUGAUUAAUAGGGACAGUCGGGGGCAUCAGUAUUCAAUUGUCAGAGGUGAAAUUCUUGGAUUUAUUGAAGACUAACUACUGCGAAAGCAUUUGCCAAGGAUGUUUUCAUUAAUCAGGAACGAAAGUUAGGGGAUCGAAGACGAUCAGAUACCGUCGUAGUCUUAACCAUAAACUAUGCCGACUAGGGAUCGGACGAAGUUAUUUUUUGACUCGUUCGGCACCUUACGAGAAAGAAAAGUCUUUGGG
Molecule: ribosomal RNA, 1027 nt
Filed under: Linocarpon elaeidis
Lineage: Eukaryota; Fungi; Ascomycota; Sordariomycetes; Chaetosphaeriales; Linocarpaceae
Description: SSU rRNA
Rfam family: Eukaryotic small subunit ribosomal RNA
Source: RNAcentral